Molecule: ribosomal RNA, 253 nt
Filed under: uncultured bacterium
Lineage: Bacteria
Description: partial 16S ribosomal RNA
Rfam family: Bacterial small subunit ribosomal RNA
Source: RNAcentral
UACGUAGGAGGCGAGCGUUGUCCGGAUUUACUGGGCGUAAAGCGCGCGCAGGCGGCAUGGCAAGUAAGGUGUGAAAUCUCCCUGCCUAACGGGGAGGGUGCACUUUAGACUGCCAAGCUAGCGGACGGUAGAGGGGGGUAGAAUUGCUGGUGUAGCGGUGAAAUGCGUAGAGAUCAGCAGGAAUACCCGUGGCGAAGGCGGCCCCCUGGGCCGAACCUGACGCUGAGGCGCGAAGGCUAGGGGAGCGAACGGG